CAGCAUGCUAUCCUAAGGACCGGGGCUUGUCUGUAGUCUUAGGUGCUCCAAGUGCGUGCAAGAGAACGGGAUGGUCUUUGACUGUUGUGGCCCUGUUCUGCCACCAGCAGCCACUCUACUGUCCUACACAU
Scophthalmus maximus (turbot) is the source of this 131-nucleotide small nucleolar RNA. Ensembl annotates it as small nucleolar RNA, H/ACA box 44. Its record names the gene SNORA44. The record is from Ensembl. Lineage: Eukaryota; Metazoa; Chordata; Actinopteri; Pleuronectiformes; Scophthalmidae.